Otolemur garnettii (small-eared galago) is the source of this 128-nucleotide non-coding RNA. The record is from Rfam. Lineage: Eukaryota; Metazoa; Chordata; Mammalia; Primates; Galagidae.
GAGAGACAUCCCAGACACAUUCACACUGGGCCAAGAGCAGCUGCCAUUGCAGAAUCCAGCCAUGUCCUUCCGUCACACCUUCUCUUUCUUGGAGUUAGUCAGAACAGAAGCUGGGGAUGUGGGGGAAG